CAAUAGCGUAUAUUAAAGUUGUUGCGGUUAAAAAGCUCGUAGUUGGAUUUCUGCUGAGAACGACCGGUCCGCCCUCUGGGUGUGUAUCUGGCUCUUUCUUGGCAUCUUCUUGGUGAACGUUGCUGCACUUGACUGUGUGGAGCGCUACCCAGGACUUUUACUUUGAGGAAAUUAGAGUGUUUCAAGCAGGCAUACGCCUUGAAUACAUUAGCAUGGAAUAAUAAGAUAGGAUCUCGGUUCUAUUUUGUUGGUUUCUAGAGCUGAGGUAAUGAUUAAUAGGGAUAGUUGGGGGCAUUCGUAUUUAACUGUCAGAGGUGAGAUUCUUGGAUUUGUUAAAGACGGACUACUGCGAAAGCAUUUGCCAAGGAUGUUUNCAUUG
This 379-nucleotide ribosomal RNA is filed under the name uncultured eukaryote. RNAcentral's name for it is "partial 18S ribosomal RNA". It matches the Rfam family "Eukaryotic small subunit ribosomal RNA", at positions 592 to 975 of the family's 1831-position model. The record is from RNAcentral.